UGUGCUAAGGUAGCAUAAUCACUAGCCUUUUAAUUGAAGGCUUGUAUGAAGGGUAAAACAUUUUAAUUUCUUUUUUAUUUAAAUUUUUCAAAAUUAUAUUAAAUAUAAAAAUAUAUUUAUUUAAUAAAUAGACGACAAGACCCUAUUGAACUUUACUGAAGUUUAGCUGGGGCAGCUAAUUAAUUAACAUUUUAAUAUAAAUUUCUUUCAUAAAGACCAAAUUAUAUUUGAUUAUAUGAAUUAAGUUACCAUAGGGAUAACAGCGUAAUUUUUUUUAAAAGCUCAUAUUUAAAAAAAAGAUUGCGACCUCGAUGUUGAAUUAAUGUUACACAUAUGCAAUAAUAUAUAUUGUAGGUCUGUUCGACCUUUAAAACAUUACAUGAUUUGAGUUCAAAUCGGUGUAAGCCAGAUUGGUUUCUAUCUUUUAUAAUUAUUUGUUUAGUACGAAAGGACCAACAAAUUUAUUAUUAAU
RNAcentral lists this ribosomal RNA (472 nucleotides) under Trichonephila komaci. Its description in RNAcentral is "Nephila komaci partial 16S ribosomal RNA". It matches the Rfam family "Bacterial large subunit ribosomal RNA", at positions 1947 to 2711 of the family's 2925-position model. The record is from RNAcentral. Lineage: Eukaryota; Metazoa; Arthropoda; Arachnida; Araneae; Nephilidae.